CUUGAUGCUGCAUACUGCAGCUCUUCAGCAGCAGCAUUUAAGCAGCUCCCAGCUUCAGAGCCUUGCUGCCGUUCAGGCAAGUUUGUCCAGUGGAAGACCAUCUACAUCUCCCACAGGAAGUGUUACACAGCAGUCAAGUAUGUCCCAAACGUCUGUAAGUCCCUAAAUUUUUUUUUCUUGGAUUUAAAAUUUUAAAGAAUUGUUUUCCAAAAGUAAACUUGUUAUUUAUGAAGCUGUUGUUAUAAUUUGUUGCAUGCUGUU
Molecule: small RNA, 261 nt
Filed under: Pongo abelii (Sumatran orangutan)
Lineage: Eukaryota; Metazoa; Chordata; Mammalia; Primates; Hominidae
Description: retained intron
Source: RNAcentral